UACGUAGGGUGCGAGCGUUAAUCGGAAUUACUGGGCGUAAAGCGUGCGCAGGCGGUUCGUUGUGUCGGCGGUGAAAGCCCCGGGCUCAACCUGGGAAUGGCCGUUGAAACUGGCGAACUGGAGUGUGGCAGAGGGGGGUGGAAUUCCGCGUGUAGCAGUGAAAUGCGUAGAGAUGCGGAGGAACACCGGUGGCGAAGGCGGCGACCUGGUCCGGGACUGACGCUGAGGCGCGAAAGCGUGGGGAGCAAACAGG
RNAcentral lists this ribosomal RNA (253 nucleotides) under uncultured bacterium. RNAcentral's name for it is "partial 16S ribosomal RNA". It matches the Rfam family "Bacterial small subunit ribosomal RNA", at positions 524 to 776 of the family's 1533-position model. The record is from RNAcentral.